CACUUCUAAGGAAGGCAGCAGGCGCGCAAAUUACCCAAUCCUGACUCAGGGAGGUAGUGACAAGAAAUAACAAUAAACCGGCCUAUGCCGGUUUAAUUGGAAUGAGUACAAUUUAAACAUCUUAACGAGGAACAAUUGGAGGGCAAGUCUGGUGCCAGCAGCCGCGGUAAUUCCAGCUCCAAUAGCGUAUACUAAAGUUGUUGCAGUUAAAAAGCUCGUAGUUGGAUUUCUGUGGGGACGGAGCGGCCGGCCGCACAUCGCGGUUCGAGCUAGCGCUUUCCCUACAUCCUGCCGCGAACCGUGCUACCAUUAGUUUGGUGGCGCCGGGGAUCGGCUCGAUUACUUUGAGAAAAAUAGAGUGUUCAAAGCAGGCCACAUGCCUUGAAUAAGUUAGCAUGGAAUAAUAACUAAGGACUUCGGUUCUAUUUUGUUGGUGUUCGGGACCGAAGUAAUGAUUGAUAGGGACAGUUGGGGCGGUCUGCAUUCCAAAGCGAGAGGUGAAAUUCUUAGACCUUCGGAAGACAAACAGCUGCGAAAGCGUUCCGCAAGGAUGUUCCCUUUGAUCAAGAACGAAAGUUGGGGGAUCGAAGACGAUCAGAUACCGUCGUAGUCUCAACUAUAAACUAUACCAGCUAGGGAUCGGCCAACGUUAUUUUAUACCGACUUGGUCGGCACCUUAUGAGAAAUCAAAGCAUCUGGGUUCCGGGGGGAGUAUGGUCGCAAGGCUGAAACUUAAAGGAAUUGACGGAAGGGCACCACCAGCCGUGGAGCCUGUGGCUUAAUUUGACUCAACACGGGAAAACUUACCAGGUCCAGACAUAGUAAGGAUUGACAGAUUGAUAGCUCUUUCUUGAUUCUGUGGGUGGUGGCGCAUGGCCGUUCUUAGUUGGUGGAGUGAUUUGUCUGGUUAAUUCCGUUAACGAACGAGACCCCAGCCUGCUAAAUAGCGCGCGUGAGCUUUGCUCGCGGCGAGCUUCUUAGAGGGACUAUGAUGCGCGAUAGCACAUGGAAGUUUGGGGCAAUAACAGGUCUGUGAUGCCCUUAGAUGUUCUGGGCCGCACACGGGCUACACUGGCGCCUGCAACGAGCAUAUCAGCUGGCCCGAGAGGGUCUUGGCUAAUCUUUUGAACCGGCGCCGUGCUUGGGAUUGACCUUUGCAAUUGUUGGUCAUGCAACGAGGAAUGCCUUGUAAACGCGAGUCAUCAGCUCGCAUUGAAUACGUCCCUGCCCUUUGUACACACCGCCCGUCGCUCCUACCGAUGAAUGUUCCGAUGAAAUUUUCGGAGAGUGCCUGUGAACUUGGCUCUGCCUUGCGAACGGGAAGCUCAGAGUCACUUAAAUCUGAACAUUUCGAGG
This 1356-nucleotide ribosomal RNA is filed under the name uncultured marine eukaryote. Its description in RNAcentral is "SSU rRNA". It matches the Rfam family "Eukaryotic small subunit ribosomal RNA", at positions 411 to 1779 of the family's 1831-position model. The record is from RNAcentral.